GUGCUCACUUCUGUAGUACAUAUACUAACAAUUGGAGCAAUACAGAGAAGAUUAGCGUGGCCCCUGCGCAAAGAUGACAUGCAAAUUUGUGAAGCAUUCCACAUUAAA
RNAcentral lists this small nuclear RNA (108 nucleotides) under Microcebus murinus (gray mouse lemur). Lineage: Eukaryota; Metazoa; Chordata; Mammalia; Primates; Cheirogaleidae. The record is from RNAcentral.